AUCCAGCUGACGAUUCCCAAAUAGGACGAAACGCGCGUCCUGGGU
Molecule: non-coding RNA, 45 nt
Filed under: Schistosoma margrebowiei
Lineage: Eukaryota; Metazoa; Platyhelminthes; Trematoda; Strigeidida; Schistosomatidae
Source: RNAcentral